This 1272-nucleotide long non-coding RNA is filed under the name Canis lupus familiaris (dog). RNAcentral's name for it is "lncRNA (ENSCAFG00030023552.1)". Lineage: Eukaryota; Metazoa; Chordata; Mammalia; Carnivora; Canidae. The record is from RNAcentral.
AUGAACCAAGUGUCUUCCACGGGCCACCGAGACGCCGUCGGGGCAGCGGCUCCCGGGGUGGCGGAGGCGGAGCUGCGGGGGGAGAGGACGGACCGAGGGACGCCCCGGCCUGAGGGCGGCUCACGGGCCGCGGGGGCAGGAUUCCCGGAAGGGAAACAACAGCAGUUUCUUUUUCUGCGCGGUGAUAGGAAGGUAAACAGGCCUCCAAGGCUCUGCGGCCCCAGGAUGACUCUGCCCGGAGAAGUCAGGUCUGGAGCUUCGAGUUUCCCCGCUGCCCCCGGGGGCGCUUUCUUCCUUACACCUUUGAGCCGGUGGGAAACGUGCGCCCGCGGCCCGCGGUGCCCUCCCCGGAGUCGGUCCCCUCCCCCAGAGUCGAUCCCCCUCCCCCAGAGUGGGUCCCCGCCCCGGGCUCGAUCCCCUCCAGGGCUCCGUCCCCUCCCCGGAGUCGGUCCCCUCCCCCAGGGUCGAUCCCCUCCCCGGGCUCGAUCCUCUCCCGGGACUCGAUCCCCUCCCCGGACUCGGUCCCCUCCCCGGGCUCGAUCCCCUCCCGGGACUCGAUCCCCUCCCAGGACUGAUCCCCUCCCCGGGCUCGGUCUCCUCCCGGGACUCGGUCCCCUCCCCGGACUCGGUCCCCUCCCCGGGCUCGAUCCCUCUCCCGGGACUCGAUCCCCUCCCGGGACUCGAUCCCCUCCCCGGGCUCGGUCCCCUCCUCGGACUCGGUCCCCUCCCCGGGCUCGAUCCCCUCCCAGGACUCGACCCCCCUCCCCGGACUCGAUCCCCUCCCCGGACACGAUCCUCUCCCGGGACUCGGUCCCCUCCCAGGACUCGAUCCCCUCCCCGGGCUCGAUCCCCUCCCGGGACUCGGUCCCCUCCCGGGACUCGAUCCCCUCCCCGGGCUCGGUCCCCUCCCGGGACUCGGUCCCCUCCCGGCGCGCACACCCCCCGACCCGAACCCGCGCGCGGCGGGACACAGCGCGCCUAGAGGACAGCCGGGCCGCCGGUCCCCGCCAAGCGCAGCCGCCCCCGGGGCAGGAGACCGAGCCCCCCGCGCCCCCCGCGCCCCCCGCCCCGCGGGAGCCACUCACCAGACAGCGGACGGCCCAGGCCCCCCACAUGGUCGCGGGCGCUCCCGCCCGACCGCCGCAGCCUCCGCGUCCCCGCCGCGCGCCGGAGGGACCGCCUCGUGGCCCCGCCCCGCCCGCCCCUAGCCCCGCCCCUCCCGCCAUAGCCACGCCCCUUUCCCGCCCGAGCCCCGCCCGUUUCCCGCCCUAG